Molecule: long non-coding RNA, 1222 nt
Filed under: Setaria italica (foxtail millet)
Lineage: Eukaryota; Viridiplantae; Streptophyta; Magnoliopsida; Poales; Poaceae
Description: long non-coding RNA (SITA_LNC002228)
Source: RNAcentral
CUGGGGUCAAGGGCACAUGUACAUCCAUAAACAACACUUUAUUCAAAUAAGCAACGUCUUGUUGCGGCUACUAAUGCCUAGCCGAUUAACUUGAAAGCAGCAGCUUUCCUUGCAAGCUGCACUCGUGUGUUGGGAGACAGGUCAAAUACUGGGCUACCAAAUGGAGCUUCAUUCAAAUAACCAUCACGCGGAUCAUGCUCAUCUCCUGCAGUAGAAUAGGUAAAGUCGUUCAAUCAUCAUGGCUGACUAAGCAUGUACUUCAUUUAGAUUCUUCACACGCAAUUUUUGAAUGGUCAAUUAUUCAAUACAGAAUACUAUGCAAAAGAAUCAAGUUGGUAUAUUGAGUACUAAAAAUGCUACUAAAUUUGAGAGUAUAUAUAUGCUUCAAAUUCCUACAAAACUAUGUGGCUUCAAUAGAACUCCAUGCAAGGGGGCUGGUGUAGCAUCAAAGAUAAUGCCUACCACAAAAAAGAUGAGGAUCAAAAGUUCUUAACAUGGAAAUGAUGGUGGUAUAAAAAAGAAUUUUGACAUAAAUAAAAUCCCAAUAAUAUAAGCAACAAUGACAGUACGAAUCAAUAGAACUGCCAGGUGGUGGAUGCAGUGACACUCAGGUUUGCUCACAACCUCUACAAUACCACCUACAUAGCACUUAAUAGAUACUGAAAUAAUGCAGGAAUAGAUUUACACAAACUCUUGGUUUCACCAGCCAAGCGUUGGAGGAGCAUAUCAACGAAGGGAGCACCUACAACACGGUGGAUGAAACCGACAACAAACUGGCGGAGAAUUGAAGGAGACCUCCACACAUUAUCUAGCCAAGACAAGUGUCAAUUUCAAAAUCAAGUAGCAAAAUCAUGUAUGCAUUCAAUAAUUGCAUCUUACCACAUAACCAUUGUGACAAUCAACUGCAGUGUGUGCAAUAUAAUGACUGUUAGGUACGACUUCAUGCUAUCCAUGUCAGCAAUGUAACAAAUGUUAUGUAUGACUUCAUGCUAUCCAUCUCAGAAAUUAUUCUUUACCUAGCAGUCAGAUCAUAUCUCAGCAAUUAGCAGGGGAGUAGUGAAAAAAAUAUCAGAGUCAAGCAAAUGGUUGAUGUGCUAAGAGUAAAGCUAAUUCCAGCACACAAAAAGGUGUAACAUCUAACAUCUAAUACUGCUCUAAGACAACACAAAACCUAGCAAAAACUGCAGAUCAAGCAAGAUUAUAUCUAUGUCUAGGUGUAACU